UCUAUACUGUGAAACUGCGAAUGGCUCAUUAAAUCAGUUAUCGUUUAUUUGAUAGUACCUUACUACAUGGAUAACCGUGGUAAUUCUAGAGCUAAUACAUGCUAAAAACCCCGACUUCGGAAGGGGUGUAUUUAUUAGAUAAAAAACCAAUGCCCUUCGGGGCUCCUUGGUGAUUCAUAAUAACUUAACGAAUCGCAUGGCCUUGUGCCGGCGAUGGUUCAUUCAAAUUUCUGCCCUAUCAACUUUCGAUGGUAGGAUAGUGGCCUACCAUGGUUUCAACGGGUAACGGGGAAUUAGGGUUCUAUUCCGGAGAGGGAGCCUGAGAAACGGCUACCACAUCCAAGGAAGGCAGCAGGCGCGCAAAUUACCCAAUCCCGACACGGGGAGGUAGUGACAAUAAAUACUGAUACAGGGCUCUUUUGGGUCUUGUAAUUGGAAUGAGUACAAUUUAAAUCCCUUAACGAGGAACAAUUGGAGGGCAAGUCUGGUGCCAGCAGCCGCGGUAAUUCCAGCUCCAAUAGCGUAUAUUAAAGUUGUUGCAGUUAAAAAGCUCGUAGUUGAACCUUGGGCCUGGCUGGCCGGUCCGCCUCACCGCGUGCACUGGUCCGGCCGGGCCUUUCCUUCUGGGGAGCCGCAUGCCCUUCACUGGGUGUGUCGGGGAACCAGGACUUUUACUUUGAAAAAAUUAGAGUGUUCAAAGCAGGCCUAUGCUCGAAUACAUUAGCAUGGAAUAAUAGAAUAGGACGUGUGGUUCUAUUUUGUUGGUUUCUAGGACCGCCGUAAUGAUUAAUAGGGAUAGUCGGGGGCAUCAGUAUUCAAUUGUCAGAGGUGAAAUUCUUGGAUUUAUUGAAGACUAACUACUGCGAAAGCAUUUGCCAAGGAUGUUUUCAUUAAUCAGUGAACGAAAGUUAGGGGAUCGAAGACGAUCAGAUACCGUCGUAGUCUUAACCAUAAACUAUGCCGACUAGGGAUCGGGCGAUGUUAUCUUUUUGACUCGCUCGGCACCUUACGAGAAAUCAAAGUU
RNAcentral lists this ribosomal RNA (1024 nucleotides) under Satchmopsis brasiliensis. RNAcentral's name for it is "SSU rRNA". It matches the Rfam family "Eukaryotic small subunit ribosomal RNA", at positions 73 to 1105 of the family's 1831-position model. The record is from RNAcentral. Lineage: Eukaryota; Fungi; Ascomycota; Leotiomycetes; Helotiales; Cochlearomycetaceae.